Molecule: long non-coding RNA, 308 nt
Organism: Drosophila serrata
Lineage: Eukaryota; Metazoa; Arthropoda; Insecta; Diptera; Drosophilidae
Source: RefSeq, a predicted model, not a curated record
GUGGCGGCAAUGUAAGCAAUAUUUGUGUUAUGCAACUAGCGUACUAAUUAAAAAAGGAGGCGGUGGCGGAGGAGCCGCUGCUGGCGGCGGGGCGGGAAAUAAAAACAAAGGCGGUGGCGGUGGUGACAAAGGUGGAGCCAAGAAAGGACCAGAGCCAAAGGCAGCCGCAGGCGGUGGCAAGAAAGGAGGCAAGAAAUAGCAACGGUGGCAAACAUCAAAGCGCAUUAAAAAUUACAAAUUUAGAAUUAAGCUGAAAUUAAACUUGGUAUCAGGGAAUAUGUAUCUAUAAUAUAUAUAUAUAUCUGUGA